RNAcentral lists this ribosomal RNA (465 nucleotides) under uncultured bacterium. Its description in RNAcentral is "partial 16S ribosomal RNA". It matches the Rfam family "Bacterial small subunit ribosomal RNA", at positions 338 to 795 of the family's 1533-position model. The record is from RNAcentral.
CCUACGGGGGGCAGCAGUAGGGAAUCUUCCACAAUGGACGAAAGUCUGAUGGAGCAACGCCGCGUGAGUGCAGAAGGGUUUCGGCUCGUAAAGCUCUGUUGGUAGUGAAGAAAGAUAGAGGUAGUAACUGGUAUUUAUUUGACGGUAGUUACUUAGAAAGUAAAGGCUAACUACGUGCCAGCAGCCGCGGAAAUACGUAGGUGGAAAGCGUUGACCGGAUUUAUUGGGCGUAAAGCGAGUGCAGGCGGUUCAAUAAGUCUGAUGUGAAAGCCUUCGGCUCAACCGGAGAAUUUCAUCAGAAACUGUUGAACUUGAGUGCAGAAGAGGAGAGUGGAACUCCAUGUGUAGCGGUGGAAUGCGUAGAUAUAUCGAAGAACACCAGUGGCGAAGGCGGCUCUCUGGUCCGCAACUAACGCUGAGGCUCGAAAGCAUGGGUAGCGAACAGGAUUAGAUACCCUUGUAGUC